UUCUACUACUCAUGACCAAAAAAAACUCAAAAACCUCAUGACAAAUACUAAAAAUUUGUCAUAAGAGCUUGAUGGUUAAUACUCGAGAUCCAAAUUUGAAUUCUAGUUGAUUCAUAUUUUCAGUUAAGUUUAUUUCUAAAUGAAAUAAAUAAAGCGGGUAGUGUGCAGUUUUUAUACAAAAAAUUUAUAACUUACUGGGUGAUAAAGAUGAAAUAAGAUGUAAAAAAAAAAUAAAAAAACUUAAAAAGCCGCAAAACAUAAAGUAUACAAAUACACCNAGAAAACUCCAUCUCUAUAAAAAAAAAAAAAAAAAACUAAAAAUUUCAAAUUCAAAAUCUAACUACUUUAUAUUUGCAACUAAAGUUAUUUCUAAAAAUAUAAAUAAAAAUAAUAGCAUGCUAUACUUAAAAAAAAAAACAAAAAAAUAGAAAAGGCCCAGCUAGCUAGCUAUGGGGCGUAACCGCGUAAGACACUUUACAAUCUCUCUUCUUUUAUACUAUAAAAAACAACAAAACUCACAAUAAUUAUGUUUCUCAUAUUGUAACAACUAUUUUCAUAUUAUAAAAAAAUAAUAAUAAAAAUCUUUUCUGGGCAUUGUGGAAGCAUCCCGACUCGGCUCUAUAUAUAAACAAAUUUAUACUAAUAAACAAACCAAUAAAUUUACAAUAGAAUUUUUAUUGAAAGAUUAACUUUUUCACCACAUGCUAUAGGGUAAUUUUUUAUGCCUAUAACAACUAUACAGAAAAGUCAAUAGUGAAUUAAUUAUUCAAAUUAACCAAUAAAAUUAAAAUAGUUCGGACAAGUACAUAAACCGCCAACUAAAGGAAGUCUGGUACGAGACACAAACUAUGGGACACAAACUAUGGGACACAAACUAUGUUAAAAAUAAAACUUAUAUGCCACAAAAUACACAAGAAAAAUAAUCGACAAUCAUUCAACUGCUCGCAAAACAACAAAUCAAAAGCGAACAAUCUGCGCUCAACCUUGCUUUUGAAAGAAAAUACUCAAAACGAGAGGUUCUACAGCAAUUCUCAAUCUCGCGAAGGUUUUCAACAGUUGCAGCAUCUAAAUAAAGGCAAAAAAAACUAAAAUAUAGCACUUACGUUAGUGAUAUAGUAUCUCCGGCCAAUCAAGUUACUUAUUUUGAAUUCACCCAUGGCAUCAUAAUUUUUAGAAAAAUAUUUUUGUUAUACCUUUCUCUCUUAAAAAAAAAAAAAAAACAGUGAUUGACAAAAAAAACAGUGAUUGACGAGUCGGGAUCUACUACAUAACAGGUUUCCUCGGGAUCUAGAGGUGCAAACUUUAUCUUAAUCACUUAAUCUCCUUUGUCCUAUCCAUAACCCAAAAAACUUUGAAGAAAGAGCAGCGCAUUUAAUUUAAAAUAUUAAAGUUCAAUGUUAAUUACGAUAUUAAAAUAUAACUUUUAUUUCAAUAGAGAUUAUUGCUGAAGCUAAGAUAGAUUCUUCUUAUGAAAUUUCAAGAUUCUUCUUAUGAAAUUUCAAAGACAGCUGUAGCUUUCACUUGUACUACCAAGUUAAAAAUGUACAAGGACAUUGCAGUUGUAACAUCAUAUUGGAAUAUCAGGAUAGUUCCGUUUUCCAAUCACUGUCAAAUAGAAAAAUACUAGCAGUACAUCUGAAAAAUAGGGUGUACAUCAUACAUUCUUUACCAUAAAAAAUAUUUUAAAAUUUUAAUAUUACUUUAAGAAAAUUGACAAUACAAAGAACUAAUAAUAACCCUUAGAUGAUGCAAUAUUCCAUCAUACCUCCUUUUGGAGUAAACAUGUAGCAUUUGCUUGAUCAAAUAUACCUUAACCUUAGACAUGUACAAAUUAAACACAUGAUGCCUUAGAACUGAGAGACUUAAAACCAACUCCAAUUACCCAGAAAAUUAAUCUGAUAAAAAAUAAUAUAAAUAUCUUUAAUAAUAAAUACAUAAUUUUUAAAAUUUAGGAUUAUAAAUACCAAAAAUUGUAUUUGGCGUGCACCAAUCAGGCAAGCACAAAACACGUGUGACCAUAGCUUUACCAGGAGAUUUUUUUUUAAAAAAAAAAAAAAAACCUAAAACGUGUAGAAAGAACAAUGAGAAACUACAAGAAGCCAUGGAGUACUCACCUUAUUAAGGCAAUAGAACACGGUUCCUUUGGUGAAGGCCUUUCACAUGUUGCUUUUUCAUAGGCUAAAAAUCUCAAUGAUGAGGGCUUUCUCUUUCCUCGUCCACAGAUGGGGCAGGGUCUCUCACUGUUGAUUUCUGUGUGUGGAAUUGUUUAAGCAAAACAAGUUUGGCUUAGAAAGAGAGUAUAAUAACAAAACAAAAUAAGAAAGUUCCAUUUUAAUCCUUUACUGCUGACUAUAUAAAUGGUGGAAGAAAUUUUGUAAGAGUAAUACAGAUGAAGUAAUUGACCAAUGACUGAAGGUAUGAAAGUGGGCUUGUAAUUUUAAGUUGUUAAUGUUACUUCACUUGAGCUCACCAAGCCAGCAGCUGAGCCGCCUCCUCGAAGGAAACCACAAAGCAAACCACCAAACGUUUCUUCUCUUGUUAAGAGUGGAAUCCUCCUCCGCUUUGGAUACCUAAAUGAACUGAUAUAGGGAAAUUAACGAACUAAUGUUCAGCUAAUUAAUCGAGUACAGAGAACUUCUCAGAGGCAAAUGGAUAUAGGAUAAUGAAAUGAAGGGUUUCUUUUUUUGCUAAAGAAGCAGUUAUUUACUUAGAAGUAGUAGUUCAGACAAAAUAUAUACAGCAAAAUAAGCCUCACAACGCUAGCAAAUAUAAGGCACCAAUCACAAUAUUGGAGUAAAGAUAAGAAAGGUCUUAUCCCCCCAAAUCAAGAAGGGAUUUGGAUUUGUAAUUCUAAGGAUAACAAUUUCCACUUCAUGCAUCUUAAAUUUGCCUAACAUUCUAAAUAACAUAUUUCUUCAAGUUAUUGUCCCUUUCUUUAAUUUCUGCUUUUCAUAAUUUCCAAGGGAUCAUCUCUGUCUUGAUGACGAGUUGUCUAAAAUGAUGAUGAAGAAGUCGCAUUCGAUAUAAGACUAUCAAUGUGAAUAGCAGCAAAGUCCUUACAACUAUGCCAAACUAAGUCCAAAACAGAAUAUUUAAGAUCUCUGCUAUGAUGAAUCAAAAUCAAACCUCACAAGGCGUAAACACUACGCACUGUUUAUUACCGGUUGAAAGUGUUAUUGGACAAAGUUUUCUUGUUCUAGACAAGGACCACUAGCAAUGACCAGAAAAGGUGGAUAUAAAAAUUUAAAUAAAACAUAAAUAUUUAGGCAAAAUAUAUUACCUUUCAAUCCCUUCAACUUUUGGCGCUAAGAUUUAAGCACCCAUCUGAAGGGAGAGAAAAGAGAGAGGUUUUCAUCCUGUAAAAAUCAAAUGCAAGAAUAUUACAUUUCAUAUGUCACAAAAAAUAAUUUUCUUUUUGCAAACAAUUUUCUUGAAACCAUUUCUUCUUUUUAGAGAGUGAAAACAUUUCUACUUCUUAUUGGGUUGCAAUUGUUCCAGUAUCAGAACAUAGAGAAAUAUAGGAGAAACACAUACUCCAUACUAGUAACACAAAACAAACGAAGGAGCAUGUAUUAAAAGUUAAGAAGCAUUAAUAUGAAGAAAGAGACAAGUAUGUCCAUGUCCAACUAGUAUUAAUAUCAAUUCCUUUAAAAGAGAUGAAAAGAGAGAUGCAUGCAUGGUUCCAUCAGCUAAUAUUCCCUGACAUCUGCUCCGCUUAAUCUUUCACAACCAUCCGAACAAAACUUGUGACGGAGGAAUCCAGUAGGCGGGAGGCGUGAUCCAACGAAACGCCAGCCUAGAAAAAAAAAUUGAGGAAAAUUCAAAUGCAGCAAACAGUUAAAAGAAGUGAACCUCCACACCAAAGCAAUGUGGUUCAAUGUACCAGCUCUUCCCAAUGAUCAACAAAACAUGCUCCUUUAAUAUCACUGAUCGACAAGGUACGGCCAAAUUUCCAGAGGGGCCCCCAUUCAGGUGUCCUCGAUGAAGCUGCUUCUGUGUUCCCUGAAAGAGGAUCUUGCAUAAUCACAAGUGCCAGUAAUGUUACUUUGCAUCCAUGAAAUCCAAGUCUUUGUAGAACGAAAGAUCGAGCCAGACCUCACCAGUUCAUUUGGAUCGCACUCGCGAAUUGAGUGGGCUAUAAAGAGGUACUAAUUGGUAACAUGAUUUCAACAUAGAAGGCCAGUGAUAGCCCAUAGCAAGACUUAUCAUAUCUAAGCAUCUUCCUUUCCAUAAUAAACACCACAGAGACAGAAUAUAGUGGGGUCCAAGACCGAGAAUAUAUACAGUACUCCAUUUCAAGUUUACCCAAUCAGUUACUAGAAUUGAAGCAGACAUAUCAAGAUGAAAAGUAAACAAGAAAAAGAACUAAUGCGGCUAAGUUGCCAUUUAGAGAGAUCUCGAGCAAUCCAUUCUCCAUUGAAUGCUUUGCUGCCACUUCACAUGUUUACUGACUACCUGCUGCUAUUCUGUGUCAUUAUGAUCUCAUUAUGAUCUCAUACUGUUUUGCAACAUAAAAUGCACACUGCCCGAUAAUGAAAGCUAACAUGUUAUAAGAGCCCAGCCCCAUAAGAAAUGAUCAGAUAAAAUAACACAAACAAAACCAUUGUGCAUAACAGCAUCCCAAUCUGAAGUACAUACUAAAACUCAAAAGGAUAACCUGACCAUCUCUAUCUUCUUUCAUGGGCGCCAAAGUAGAUGCAUUACAGGCUUCAAAGACCUAUCUUGAGGAUUGCAUCGUAACCACAAAUCAUCAAUACAGGAUAAAAUAUUGAUGCCUCAUAUGAUCAAUGCACAAGCUGUAAAACACAUUAACAUUGCCACAAGUGGUAUAAUGACAUACUAAGUAAUUAAUAAAAAUUUAUAAAUCUAGUAUGCAAUCGUGGGUGCAUGGCAAACCACAUUUCGACGAUUAAGCCAUCCAAUCUCCACCACCUGGAAACUAUCAAGCAGAUGGACAACGAUUAUUUCAAUUAAAUUAUGUGCGUAACAAUGUUCCUUUUUUCCAGAAUAUCUGCUAUUCUUAUACAUACAUAAAGUCGUCUUUGAUUUCUUUCGCUAAAUUUGCCAGUUACUUUCUAAAUCGGAACUUUUUCUUGUUCCUGGGUUUAUCUCUCCCAUCACAUGCACUUGCCCAAAAGAACAAUGACAUCCAGAAAAGAACAGCAAAGAAAAUCCUCACUCUAUCCUGGACCCUUGAGAUUCUUUCUUGCAAACCUGUCAAAAGGCAAAUUGCAUCCAUAAAAAGGAACAAACACCUUCAUUAUGCAUUGCAUUAGAAUAUGACAGGAUAGCACAUUAAGAUCCAACAUUUUCAAAUUUGUAAAUUAACUCCCAUAAUAACGAAAACAACGCACCAACAAUAUGUUAGCUAAAUAAGCGAAAGAAGUUCCCCUAUACAUUUUGUACAUUAAGGGCAUUACAUACUCUAAAUAAUUUUCUAGAGUAUGAAAAAUCACCUGAUAGGUUGAAACAAUUAUCCUUAAACUAAGGAUUACAGGGACCUUUCCACGAACUAAAAUUGAACUCAUAAGCUCUACGCAUAAAAAGAAAAUAUCCACUUCAUGCUGGUUAUCACCAAAUAACUUGUUCCAACAUUGAAGCUACACCGCAUUAUCGAUGAGAGAAGUUCACAAAAUACUCGUCUAAGUGCAAACCAAAAUUAGGUUGCAAUACAAACCAUAACCUGGUCAUACUAGAGUACUAACUAUAGUUGUAUGAAUAGUACAAUUUAACGAUCUUAACAUUUAGCAUGUUCAGAGAAUCUAACAUUUAACAUUUUGAUGGCCCUAACAUGUAGCGUAGAUCAAUAAUCUAAACAAAAUUCACCUAAAUUAGAACCAACUGGAUCAAAAGCUAACUUGCAUCAGUACGAAAUGAGAUUACUAAGAUCAAAAUUUGCGAUUAUUAUCUCAAAAUAGGGGGGAAGACCAAUUAAAUACACAAAAAGGACCAAUUGGAUCAACUUUUUAUUAGGGUUUACGGAAGCGGAAGAGGUACGAACCGGAGAGGUCAUCGGAGUCACCGCCGGGAGGUGGCGGAGCGCCGGAGUUUGCGGCCGCGCGCCGCCGCGAGGAGCCACGGGGUAGCGGCGGAGCGCGGCGGAGGAGGAGGCGAGGAGAGGGGAGAGAGAGGGGGCGAAGGGGGAGGUCGGGGACGAAGGGACACGCGGGGGAAAAGUAGAUUCGGAAGGGCGAGGCGACGAGAGAGGAGGCGGAGAAGGGAGGAGAAGGCAUUGAGGCGGUGGUCGGGGUUCGCAAAGCUUCCACGGCCCUUCCCUUUCUUUGUAGGCCUCCUUUUACACGUGGAAUUGGGUUGUUAAUGGGCCGGGCUUUAUUGGGCCCAUGUAGGGGCGCUUUGGGUUCGGAUUUGAUAGACCAAUUUGAGUCUUCUUAAAAUUUUGACUAUUCGAACAAAAAAAAAAAAAAUGUUUUUUAAAUUUUAAAUUUUUUUUUUAAUUUCGGAGUUUUUCAUAGUCAUGGGUCCCCUCUCCAAAUGAUUUUUUGUUCCAUACUCAAGUCAGAUUGAAAUUUUUAUUUUUAUCGUGCCCACAACAGAGAUAAUAGUAACUAACAAAUUUGAAGUUUCUGCGAGCGACACACAAAAACACACAUAUACAUACAUAGAGAGAUGGUAUAUAUGUAUCACUAAUUAAACCUCGACAAGUUGAACUACCAUGUAGUGAUUAAUUAAUUAAUUAAUAAUAUAAUAUAACAUGAGGUAGCCUUUUAUUAAGGUUGAAACAGCUUGUUGCCACAGGCACACUUCCAAGCUAGUAAGUAAUAAUUGGACCCGUCCUCGGCCGCACGUGCGGGACUAACGGCCGUGGGCCCGCGCCCGUGCGGGGAGACGACUAAGGUGGCCGUGCAGGGGCUGCAGCUGGAGCACUUGUUGACGCACCGCGGCGGCCGCGAUCCCAACGCCUCCCUCCGGCGCCCGCCUCCCUCCGUCGAACCGUCGACUCCGCCGCCGACGCGGACGCUCCGCUUGGCCCAAACGAGUCCUACUGUUGCUGCAUCAUCGUGAUGAGUGCAUAUUAGACGUCGAAAAAUUUUGCGGCAAUUGAGAGUGAAGACUCCACUUUCGAUUUUUACGAUAGAAAGAAACUGCUGAGAAUUUUCACUAACGUCACUUCACAUAGCAGAAGAACUACUUAUUGAAUAAAAAGAAUAGGUUCAUUGAACUUGGUCAGUGUUCACAAAUAAAAUCAUACUGGGUUUAAUUUAAUGAACCUGCUCUACUAUUAACACUUUCUUUGCUUCGUCACUGUCAUCACCCCCACAUUACAAACAAGAAGAGAGAGAGAGAGAGAGAGAGAGAGAGAGAGAGCUUAAUCACCUGGUGCGGAGGGUAAAAGUGUGGGCAAGAGGAGGAGGAGGAGGAGGGAAGUGGAGAGGGAAAUAGAAAAAAUGGAGAAAGAGAUUAGGGUUAGGGGGAGGAUGAUGGAGAGAGAGAGUUUCUUGAUUGCAAUCCUCAUUCCAGGUUUGCUGAGAUUGUUUGGGCUUUUUUUUGGGAGAGGAGUGGGGAGAGGGAGAGGGGGUUGAGGGAGAAUCGGAACAAGUUGUAGCUAAAUUUGGAGAGCGACAAUUUAAAUGAAAUCAACUGUGCAUGUAGUACUGGUUUUGGUGGCAAGUGAACGAUUUUGUUUUGUUUUUUGUUUUUUUGGUAAAAGUGGGUCGCAUGCGGAGGGCGAGGAAAUCCACCGUCCAAUGGCCAGAUGAACGGGAUCCGACGCGGGGUCCGCAUGCGAGGCGGGUCGCAUAACGGAUCACUCCGGAAACGGCGGAGGAAAAGUGACAGGUGGGUGAGGGCGUCCGCAGAGGAAGCGACGUGGCGGGGUGGUGUUCGGUGCCGGUCCGUACAACACACGCUCGUUCCGUGUAACGGGAUGAUGUGAGACUGACAUGCGGGCCCACGUUUAGUGGGGCCCGAUUUUAGGACUUCCAUGGCCGUGAUAUGUAACUGUGUCAGUGAAAAUAAGAUCACUGAGCCCAAGUCCCAUGUCCCCACUCUGACUACAGGAACAGAGGCACAGGACACAAGCAAUGAGAGAGAGAGAGAGAGAGAGAGAGAGAGAGAGAGAGAGAGAGAGAGGGGUUUUGGGAAGUGGAGAAAACCAACUCUAUCUGCUGAUGACACAGAGAGAUAGUAACGCUUCAUCUACCUUAUAUGGUACCUCAAAGAGAUCUACCUUAGAUGAUAACAAGCAAAUGAGAGUAACCGACCGUCUCUAGAAUAAGGGGUAAAGAACUUGAUGAUUAAUAUUCGAGGUCUCAAGUUUGAAUCCUAGUUGAUUCAAAUUUUCAGUUAAAUUUAUUUUUAAAUGAAAUAAAUAAAACAGAUAACAUGCUACCUAUCUCUCCAAAUAUAUCAUUAAAAAUAAUUCCUUUAAACUCUACUGUUUUAAAUUAUUAAUUAGUAUGGAACAUGCAACAAAUUUAGAUAUAGUAGUAAGUUGUUUAACUUUCAAAUUUAUAAAUGGAAUAUAAAUCAAAUACGUAAAUAAUUUACAAAACCAAACUGUUGUGUUUAAUGCCCAACAUUUCAGCUAUAUUUACGACCGUUUCUAGCGUAAGUGGCAAAAGGACUUGGUGGUUGAUAUCCGAGACCCAAGUUCGAAUCCUAGUUGAUUCACAUUUCCAGCUAAGAUUAUUUCUAAAUAAAAUAAACGAAACGAGUAGCAUACUACCUUUCUCUCUCUCUCAAAAAAAAAAAAAAAAAAAACAAUUCAGCUAUAAAUAGCUGUAGCAUUUACUCGUUUUAUAUUUAGCCCGUUUGUUGUAACUAUACCCACUGACACACCCAGUUUGCACUUUGCACCACUUAAAAAAAGGUGGGGGAAAGAGAAGACACCUGUUUGAUCAGUCCUAGUUCAGAUCAAAGGGACAAAAUUGACUAAAGAGGCCCCUGGAUUUGGUAAGAUAUUUCACUGUCUCACCGGAUUCAAUCAGUGAACCAUCCCCUGUAUUUAUUGUUCUCCUUUUCCAUGGUAAAUGCUUUGGAUCUCCCCACAAAAAAACCUCCUUGUACAGUAUUAAAUGUGCUGAUAAAUCUCACUAGUGUUUUGAAGUAGAUACAUAGAUAAACCAAAAUACUUAUGACACCCUAGGCAUUCAAUAGAUAGCUGCUCAACAUUUCAGAAUAAAUGAUCUAAUUCAACUGUCACAUAAAACACAUAAGAUACUUAGUUUGAAAAGGUGAGUACUUUCGAUUGUUUGGUUGGAUGAUUGAUUUUUUCAAAGUUGUCUAUUUCUACGAGGAACUCGACAUUGCACUUCUCCGGAGUGAUGUCGAGUUUCACUCACAAACUCAAAAAAUUGCUGGACCUGAAAUCAGAUUUACCAAACAAGCCCUAACUCAAUGCAUUACUCUCACUAGAGGAUCCAUCGAAAAUGAAACCAAACUGAGAGCGACAUAAUUGGUAGUUGGAAACCUUUCACAUCAAUAAAGGCUCAUUUCAAAAACGUGCAUAAAGAAAUAUAAAAAAAGGGCUCAGUAAAAAUGCUGAUGUUAGUAGUAAUCGACACCUCUCUAACUAAAAGCUGAUGUUUCCUCUAUAUAUAUAUAAAAAAAAAAAACACUAAAAGCUGAUGUAAGUAAGUGACAGCUUUCCCUCGUAUAUUAUUCUAGCUAGCCUUUCUUUUCAUUUCCAUAUUUUAAUAUUAAUCUUCUAUGAUACAUCCAAUCAAGUGAAUGGACUAUGACAACACAAGACAUCAAGGUUGUAUUCAAAAGAUGUGCAUCACAAGGAAAGGGCUGGGGAUCUCUAUUUCUCUACUUUUUAUUAUAGUACAACUAAGAGGAUAAAGAAACAAAAAAAAGUUGUUCUUAGUGGCUGCAGCCACUUUGUAGAAAGUUUCAGAUGUUUGAUGAAGCUACAGAAGGGACACAACAUACAUUAGAAAAAUUAUUGGGUGAUGCGGUGUAUUAGUACAUUUCAUACUUCAUAUAAAUGUGCAUAAGUAUGUAAAACCAUGGCAUAUGACAUCUUAAAUUUAAAUUUAAAUAUGUAAAAACUCUAAUUCAGAUAACACUCACAAUUAUUGUAUCAGCAUGAAACAACUCUCAUUAAAACAUGAUGUUUAGAAAAUUAGAAUCACAAACUAGCCAAAUGCCAAAGCCAUAAGUACUUGGGCACGAAAUUAAAUUUUGUUACUCUGGAAAGAAAUUAUUCCCCCGCAUCUAAGUCGUGAAAAUUAUUUUCAUCAUUAUUUGGUAUUCAUAUAACAACCGUAGUAAACAAUAGAAGGACAAUUACCUGGAGAUAAAAGUUGCUCGCUGCUGCAGACGCUCCACCUAACACAUGAGGCCUUAAAUUGGUUCAGCUAAGCAUGUCCUAAAAAUUAAACCUACACUGAGAAAAGACUAUUACUCAUAAAAAAUAAAAAAUUAAAAGAAACAAGAAAUAUGUAUAAUCUAUGACAUAAGUAUCAACAAAAACGAUCUAAAUAGUAAAAUGGUUCACAACAAUUUAUUAUAUCGUAUAAAUAAGUGUCGCAUCAGCAUCAUUAUGAAUUUAUGUAGUCGAAAUUAAGACUUGUAAGGAUGAAAAUGAAACAAAAAUCGAACUCUCUGAAUGAAAUUGACAGCAUAAAAUUCAUUUUCAAAUGACUAGUACUGAGCAUGAUCUAUAGAAAUUUUCUCCUUACGCCACAUUUGAAAGAAAUAUUGAAAACCAAGAGUCCUCACAGCAGGUCGUAGAACAUCAAAUGUCAAUAGCCCCAUACACAAUAGAUUGCAAGAUUACUAGUUUCCAAGUACCAUUUACAACACGAAAAAUUAAGUACAAAAAUAAAACCGACAUAACAAUUGGAUGUAACUUAUAAUCGAAUCUUAUAAAUUAUUAGUAAGUUGCAAAAUUUACAUUUAUAGGAAUGUCCCAUAUUUUAUCCAUAUAUAUCGCACUAGACUUGUGAGUUGUGAAUGAGAAGGACUAAGAACCAGGGCCAGGCUUCAUGUGUAAUCACAAAAGCCAUGGCCAAUCUCUAGGGUAGUAAUCAGCUAGCAAGGCCAGAUUCAGCAAGCGAUUCAAUCUCUCGGGUAACAAUCAGCUUGCAAGACCAGAUUCAGCACACCCAAGGGGUGUGCCAUUUUGCACAGGAGCGGAAAACUCUUCUCAGUCACCUGCGAACAACUUCUCAGCGUAAGGACUUUUAGGUGGAGGUGCCUGGCAGAUGCCAGAACCGCAAUGCCAAUAUCGCUGAUCUGGCACCUUGACAUAUCAAGCUCUUUGAGACGAGAGCAACUCACUGAGAUCGCCACGAGGCUCUUGUCGGUAAGCUUCUUACAGCCAUCAAGAUUUAGUAGUUUGAGAGUUCUUCCAUGCGCCUUGACCAGGGCCUCAAUGGCUGCAUCGGUCAGGUCAACACAAUAAGAAAGAUUGACCUUCACCAACCGGUCUCCGGAACCUUCGAUGAAAGGAAGAAGCCCAUUGUCAGUCAAACCAACAAGCCCACUCAGGUCGAUAUGCUCCAACUUUGGGCAGAUGUUUGCCACAAGAGCUAAGCUAUCACUAGUGAGAUCAGGACAUGCGUGAAUAGUCAAGGAUGUAAGAUGGGUGCAGGAGGGGUGUAGCGAAGGAUCAAAGUCCUUAAUCUCCGAACAUUUAGCCGAGGCUAGUGAUUGGUAGUUUGUAUUGGUAUCAAGAGAAGAAAGAGAAACACUGUUGAGAGUGAUCCUGCUGCACCCUUCUAGUUGCAGGCUUUCAAGUGUUCUAGAAGUUUCAGUUACAGCUCUCAGUCCAGAAUCUGACAGGUGGAAAGAUCUGUGGAAGGGCAAAUGUUUCAAACUUGGACAACACUUUCCGAUGGAUUCAAGGGCCAGAUCAGUGACGCCGGAGCAUGAGGUGACUGUUAUGCUAUUGAGAUUUUGCAGGCUUAGAGACUUAGCUGUGAUGCGGAUUUCGCUCUUGCUCACAUUCUGGAGACCACUUAGGGUAAGGUCACUAACACCCUUCCCAUGCCGCCCAACAAAAGCACAAGAAAUGUCACUGAUGUUUAAACCCUCAAGCUUGACCUUCUGGAGGGAAGAAGAGGCAGAAGCCAUGAGGCUCGAGACUCCUAGAUCACCAACUCGUGGGCAGUCCUUGAUAAUAAGGCAGUUCAACUUUUGACAGCAAAGGCCAAUAGCAUGCAGGCCUUCAUUGUGGAUAUUUGCACAUGACUGUACUUUUAGAGAAGUCAAGUUCCGACACUUCCUCGCAACGGCAAUCAAACCCUUCUCUGAGAUUAGCGGGCACUGUGUGAGGUCAAGCUUUUCCAGGAUGGGACAUCCACCAGCAAUUUCAGAUAGGCUAAUGUCAGUGACUAAAGGAACAUUCCACAUUGACAGAAUGCGAAGGGAAGGGCAAGCAUGAGCUACGGCAGAAAGCCCACGGUCAGUGAUACCACAAGUUGGAUUGCCAUAGCUAUUGCUCCCUCGGAUCAAAAGGUCACCAAGCCCUCCACGACUACUAUUACCUGUUUGAUAUAAAAUAUUAACAACAUAUAAUACGAGAGCAAGAGAAUUGAGUUCAAAUCCCACUAGGUCCAUCCACUGUUUAAUUAAAAGAACCGCCUUCCAUGAUGUAGUUGAAAAAUAGGGACCAAAAAAGAAAAAAUAGAGCCGAGACAGAGAGGGAAACUGCUUAAUAAAAAAUUAAAACAGCGUUCUCUAGCAGCCCAAGUUUUUUGAGGGGAAAAUAACAGUCUUCCACAUUACCUACAGCUAUAGCGGCAAGUUGAAUAUCGGUAGCCUGCUUGCCUUCCAAGAUCCUACUAUGAGACUGGUCUACCUCUCCCUCAUCAUCCUCUUCCUCAUCACCGACCCCAUCAGCGUUAAGAUUUGGUAAAAUCUUCCGCUGAACAGCAUCGGACGGGCGGAUGCCGCUCAGAAGGAAAAGCCAUUUUUUGCAAACACAAGCAGAUUUGGUCCUCUCCUUACUCCCUGGAAGUCGCCGGAAGAUCUCAAAGAGGCACUCGUCGGGAAGAUAGUUGACAGUGUCGGACUGAUGCUCUUCUUCAUUAGCCUUUCUUUCUCUCCUUUCCGAGAUUACUGGGGAGGAGGAAAUCCUGGGCAUCUUGCGAGGUCGGCUGUGGGCAUCAAGAUCGGAAGGCAUAGAAGAGACAAAGUGGAAUCCAAAGCAGGGUUUCUCGAGGUUGAUAUCAUCGUCUCCUGAGAAAAUUGCAGGGGAACUAAUUGAUAAAACCGAGUUUGGUAUUGUUGUCAUUUUUUUGUUUCUCGAAAAACACAAAUUCCACCCAACAGAGCCUGCGGGCAGAUGUCUACUGGUUUUACUUGGCAACAAAAAUUUUGAACUUGGUAGUAACUUUUUUUUUUCGCAUUUUUAUUAUUACAAAGAAGAUGCUGUUCAGCAUCAAGCUGGGUGCAUUGGCAAGCUACUCAGUAAUAACACGAACAAAGAAGUCCAUUUGCCGGUGCAUCUAAUCAUUUAAAAUUUGCAUUUAAAACAUUAUAAAAAGAGCAAACAAGGCAGGAAAUUCUAGAUGGUUGAUUCAAAAAUGCAAAAUUGAAACACGGAACCGUGUAAUCUACGCCAAUAUGAUAUGAUCUCCUAAAAGCUUAAUACGUACAUGUAUAUAGCCUAGAAAACCUAAUAUAUGUCACUGAAUAUCUACAAAAGAGGGGAAAAAACGAAAUUUUCCAAAUUUGAAACCCUAAGACUCCCAAUUAAGCCAAAAACAGAGAGGAAUAACAGCAAUUAGGACAUCGCUCGAUCAAUAAAUUCCGAAGAGACAUGAAAUUGAAGCGACUACCUUCGUAGUUGGCGAUGGCCAUCAGUGGUGACGAAGGAGACGAUUCCGAUCGCGAUUACUGAAUAACAGGAAAUCGAAGACGAAGAAGACGAAUUCGAGUUCAUCUACGGGGGAAUCGGGUUUCGCACGGGUAGGAGAGCGCCCCCGAUCAGGGGAUCGUUCUCAAAACCCUAAUCGCGUUUAGGGCUUAAAACGAGCGAGAGAAAGAAAGAGAGAGGGGAGAGAGAGAGAGAGAGAGAGAGAGACUCGACGUUGAGUCUUUGAGCGAGAGACAGGCCGAAGCAACUUAACACGCGUCACGUGAUUGGCACGUGCACUUUGUCCACCUGUCCAUAAACUUAGCGGGUUUCGGGUUUCGGAUUGAAUGUUCGAAGCCUCUCCUGAAAAGAAAUUAUUACGUGGACCAGGUGCACCGUAGACCGCCAGAAUUAUUUAAUGUUUAAUGUGUUCAAAUUAACAUUUUAUUUGCAUAGCUAUGAUCUAAGAAAAAAAAAACUCUAUGCAUAAAAAAUUAUACUAUAGUUUUGAGAACUUAUUAACUAUGUAUUGAACGGUCUAAAUUUUUUUUUUUAAGAGAUAGAUAGCACGCUACCUACUUCGUUUAUUUCAUUUAGAAAUAAACUUAGCUAGAAAUGUGAAUCAACUAGGAUUCGAACUUGGGUCUCGGGUACCAACCACCAAGCCCUUUGCCACUUACUCUAGGGAUGGUCGGUACGGUCUAAAAAAUUAAUAGUAUAGAACGAGAGACUAUUUGAUCCUAUGAUAUAAAGAUGUAUUGGUAAAAUACCUCGCUACACUACAGAGCACAUGUAAGUCGUGAUCGUGAAUGUUUGGGAUACACAUUGAAACUGGUGAGCUCACCACAGAUUGUAUAGGACCAAAGUAUGUGCUCUCUCACGAGACAGCAAGUUUUCAUUGUGAUUUUUAGUUCAAAAAAUAUCGUAGGUUCACGAGCUAAUUAUUUUUAUUGUAACAAACACAGCUUAGAUGUUCAUAAUUUGUGACUUCGUAUGUAAAUCUUCCGAAUAUUAUAAAAUAUAAGUAACUAAUUAAAUUUUAAUUUUAAAAUUUUUAUGAUAGCUAGAGUUUUAGGUUAUGGUGCACCGGGUGCAUGAAAAGAGGAAAACAAAAAUAUGAAAGGGAAAAAGCAGUAGUUGGCACUUAGCGGUAGUGAUGAGCAUCUUCCAAAUGCAGUCAAAAUUUUUAAUUUUUUAAUUUUUUAAUUUUUUUUUUUUUUAUGUGGGGUUACUGGUUAGGAAUUAUUGCAAGUGCGCCCUUUAUAAAGGUUUUUUUUUUUUUAAAAAAAAAUGGCCCUUAAAACAAAAUUUAAUUUUGUGACGUGAUCGAGUUACAAAUUCUUAGUACACAUUUUGCUUAAUGCAAUUAAAAUUAAAUUUAAAUUCUAACUAACCUUGUUCUCAUCAAGGAACAAAUUUAUUCCAGAAAAAAUGUGGAAUAGCAGUUUCAGUCUUAUACCAGCUUAUUCUUUAAACUCUGAAACUACUAUUCUCAGGUACCAAACAUCACGUUUAGAAACGAAGGGGGAAAACAAGGGCUUAUUUUCUCCUUGUUUCCGAACCAAAUGCUAUCUAAAAGUUAUAAUUUCGAUUGAGAAUUUAGUACAUGUUACCUUGAAAAACUAAUUUUUCAUCUUUUUCACAAAAAUAAAAACUUUAGUUUUCUGUCAAAUUUGAAAUUUAGUUCUUCAGUAAAACUAUUUUUGCUCGAAGACAAACAGACUAUUUGUGAAAUUAACCAAGAUCACGAACUGUUAAUCAAGUCAAACCAUUUGUUUGGUUCACCAAAGGGGGAAUCGAAAUAGACAAGAAUAAGAAAAAGAAAAUCAUAAAAUUGCCUCCAUCACCGACCGUUCCUAACGCAAGUGGCAAAAAGGUUGGUGGUUGGUGGUUGGUAUCCGAGAUCUCGAGUUCGAGUCCUAGUUGAUUCAUAUUUUUAGCUAAAUUUAUUUCUAAAUAAAAUAAACGAAGCAGGUAGCAUGCUACCUAUCUCUCAAAAAAAAAAAAAAUUGCCUCCAUCCAAAACUAAGAAAAAAAUUACUAAACUUAUUAGAAAAAUAAAUUAUUUAACAAA
RNAcentral lists this long non-coding RNA (15842 nucleotides) under Ananas comosus (pineapple). Its description in RNAcentral is "long non-coding RNA (ACOM_LNC019008)". The record is from RNAcentral. Lineage: Eukaryota; Viridiplantae; Streptophyta; Magnoliopsida; Poales; Bromeliaceae.